Molecule: ribosomal RNA, 390 nt
Filed under: uncultured bacterium
Lineage: Bacteria
Description: bacterial SSU rRNA
Rfam family: Bacterial small subunit ribosomal RNA
Source: RNAcentral
GACGAACGCUGGCGGCGUGCUUAACACAUGCAAGUCGAGCGGUAAGGCCCUUUCGGGGGUACACGAGCGGCGAACGGGUGAGUAACACGUGGGUGACCUGCCCUUAGCUCUGGGAUAAGCCUGGGAAACUGGGUCUAAUACCGGAUAUGACUCCAUGACGCAUGUUGUGGGGUGGAAAGCCUUGUGCGGCUAGGGAUGGGCCCGCGGCCUAUCAGCUUGUUGGUGGGGUGAUGGCCACCAAGGCGACGACGGGUAGCCGGCCUGAGAGGGCGACCGGCCACACUGGGACUGAGACACGGCCCAGACUCCUACGGGAGGCAGCAGUGGGGAAUCUUGCGCAAUGGGCGAAAGCCUGACGCAGCGACGCCGCGUGAGGGAUGACGGCCUGGU